Molecule: long non-coding RNA, 995 nt
Organism: Dromaius novaehollandiae (emu)
Lineage: Eukaryota; Metazoa; Chordata; Aves; Casuariiformes; Dromaiidae
Exons: 3
Source: RefSeq, a predicted model, not a curated record
GGACUGCGUGGUUUGGGGACGCCCAGUCUCAGCCAGGGCCCUGGGCCUAGAGCCCACACUGGUCCCUGGGGGUCCUCCAGCUCCCCCCACCGAGAUGCUCCCACUGCCUCUUCUCUCCCAGGCAGAGCUGACGGAGGUGAAGGCAGAGGGAGACGCGGCCCGGAAGGAGCUCCACCAGGUCUGUAACCCCCGUGAAAACACCGCUUAGGUGGGCAGAGCUGCUGGGUGUGGUGCCAGCCCCCAAGGACGCCUGUGUCCCUGCCUCCCUGGCCCCGGCUGGCCUCGCAGCGCCCUGCAGACUGACUGGGCAUCGCCAGUCCCACCUGGGCUCUUUGCAACGUGGCCCGGUUGCUUUGCAGGAGAAGCAGUCAGCAGCCAAGCUGGCAGAGGCCCUGCGGGAGCAGGCUGAGAUCGAGAAGGUGCUGAGGAAAGAACGCGAGUGCCUCCGGGAGAGACGCGAGGGCCUCCAAGGGCAGACAGUGGGGGGGAAGACGGAGCAGGCGGCCAGGCUGUCCACGUCACUUAUGCGGGAGAUGGUGGCUGUGAAGCUGGUAGGACGGACAAGCCCGACGUGGGCCUUGGGGAAGAAAGGGUGUGCAGGGCACCCGCUGGCUUUGGGGGCACUGGUCUCAGUGGGGAUGAGGGUGGGGGUCUGAGCCCCCAAGGCCCAGCAGUCUUGCCCACACCGACACGUGUCCUGCUGUGCCUUGACCUGCAGGAGGAGCAGCUGGUGGCAAAGAGGCAGGGCAUCACUUUUUGGCUGCAGUGAGUUGCCGCGUGGGGCUCGGCGUGCCAGGGCUCGUGUGCGGGGGGUGGGAUGCCCAGGCUGGCGGUCCCAAGGCAUCCAUCAGCUUCUCCCUUCUCAACACGGACACAGCUCAGGAUCCCUUCUCCCGGGGUUGCGGAGGUGCUGGUUGUUUCUGGGCUCAGUAGGGAGAUGAAGAGCAGAGCCGAGAUGCUUGGGCCCUUAAGCUGAGGCCCAGGAACGGGGCAGG